This 517-nucleotide unclassified non-coding RNA is filed under the name Hevea brasiliensis (rubber tree). Lineage: Eukaryota; Viridiplantae; Streptophyta; Magnoliopsida; Malpighiales; Euphorbiaceae. The record is from RNAcentral.
AAAAUUUUUAGGACAAUAUGUGCCAAUUUCUAUAUCUAUUCUGAAGAUACCAUAUUUAAGCAGCUUGACAAACAUAAUAGGAAUGGGAGUGAACUAGAAUCAAAUAUAUUCUUAGAGUCACAUAGUAUUUUCAUUACAUAAAUGAUUGAUUUAAAAAACCAGGUUCUAGCACCAAGCAGCCAUCUGUUCUUUAAUUCACUAUCAGAUAUUUCACACGCUAAUCCAUAUAUCACUAAAACAUGCCAAAAUAAUGACAUUUACCAUAUUUUUUUGAGCCAGAGUAAUUGACACCACUUUUUUUCAAUAACUUUUAUCCAGGUCUCUUGUUUAGUGAUAGCAUACAACAAUUUCAACAUUUGUUUCGGAGAAUAAUACUGAUAGCAGCCUGGGUCACGUGAUUUUCUGACAUUUUUGAGGUUGAGAAAUGCAUUACUAUUGCUUUUAUCUCUUUGGAUAGACAAACUCUAAGAAUCAAAUAUUAUGGAAAAGGCAAAAUGUAAACGAUACCACUUCCAUU